GCUAGAAAAAGAAAGCUAAAGCAAAAAGCAGGUAUCGGUGGAUUUGUGUGCCAAACUCAGACCAAAACAUUUUGUCUCCUAAAUAAGAAUCAUUGAAAUGAUAGCUGCAAAUUACAGUCCUCUGCUUGGUUCACACCUUCUUUCCCUUGAAAGUGGGCAUUAUUAAGACUGCUGAAUACUGUCACAAAACAAGCCUUCCAAUCCCUGCUAUGUCAUUUUUUUCAGGGAUAUUUGCACUGCUGACCUGAAUUCGAAGUACCGAACUAUGAAAUAAGCGCCAAUGUUUGCAUCAUUCAUGGGUUCCUUUGCAUGGGAUAGUAGUACCGAUUUUGUCGAUCGCAGACAGAUAAGAUUUACAUGGUAGCAACCUGAAACCUGAUUGGGCAAAAGAUAUAACAAUUUCCAACUAUUAUCCGAGCCACUUACCCUUACGAGGUUCGCUGGCGUGCCCGCAGACAUCUCAGCUGUCUGCGGGCAGUAGGUGGUGUACACCCAUAACAUGGUUGCCAGCCAAUUGCAGGACACAAAUAGA
This is a long non-coding RNA of Hippocampus comes (tiger tail seahorse), 532 nucleotides long. RefSeq lists it as uncharacterized. The record is from RefSeq and is a predicted model, not a curated record. The transcript has 2 exons. Lineage: Eukaryota; Metazoa; Chordata; Actinopteri; Syngnathiformes; Syngnathidae.